CCGCUGAAUUUAAGCAUAUCAAUAAGCGGAGGAAAAGAAACCAACAGGGAUUCCCUUAGUAACGGCGAGCGAAACGGGACAAGCCCAGUAUGUAAAUCUCCAGCUUUUAGCUGGCGAAUUGUAGUCUGGAGUAGCGACUCUUGGAAACUGGCCAGCCCAAGCAUCUUGGAAUAGAUCGCCGUAGAGGGUGAGAGCCCCGUAGGCUGGCAAAGGCUCCUUCACAGAGCGCUCACAUAGAGUCGGGUUGUUUGGGAAUGCAGCCCCAAUUUGGUGGUAAACCCCAUCUAAGGCUAAAUACCUGUGGGAGACCGAUAGCAAAAAAGUACCUCGAGGGAACGAUGAAAAGACCGCUGG
Molecule: ribosomal RNA, 354 nt
Filed under: Lychaete pygmaea
Lineage: Eukaryota; Viridiplantae; Chlorophyta; Ulvophyceae; Cladophorales; Cladophoraceae
Description: eukaryotic LSU rRNA
Rfam family: Eukaryotic large subunit ribosomal RNA
Source: RNAcentral